This 1169-nucleotide ribosomal RNA is filed under the name Clitopilus prunulus. RNAcentral describes it as "partial large subunit ribosomal RNA". It matches the Rfam family "Eukaryotic large subunit ribosomal RNA", at positions 200 to 1399 of the family's 3401-position model. The record is from RNAcentral. Lineage: Eukaryota; Fungi; Basidiomycota; Agaricomycetes; Agaricales; Entolomataceae.
ACGCCAUAGAGGGGGAGAGCCCCGUCUGGUUGGAUGCCAAAUCUCUGUAAAGCUCCUUCGACGAUUCCAGAAAUUUGGGAAUGCUGCUCUAAAUGGGAGGUAUAUGUCUUCUAAAGCUAAAUACCGGCCAAAGACCGAUAGCGCCCAAGUACAGUGAUCGAAAGAUGAAAAGCACUUUGAAAAGAUAGUUAAAAAGUACGUGAAAUUGUUGAAAGGGAAUCGUUUAUGACCAGACUUGGGCUUGGUGAAUCAUCUGGGGUUCUCCCCAGUGCACUUUUCCGGGUCCUGCCAGCAUCAAUUUUCCCCGGGGGAUAAAGGCUUCAGGAAUGUAGCUCUCUUCGGGGAGUGUUAUAACCCGUUGUGUAAUACUCUGGUGGAGACUGAGGUUCGCGCUUCUGCAAGGAUGCUGUUGUAAUGGUCAUCAUCGACCCGUCUUCAAACACGACCAAAGAGUCGUCUUCGUAUGCGAGUGUUCGGGUGUCAAACCCCUACGCGAAAGAAAGUGAACGCGGAGAGAGCUUCGGCGCAUCAUCGACCGAUCCUGAUGUUCUCGGAUGGAUUUGAGUAAGAGCAUACGGGGCCGGACCCGAAAGAAGGUGAACUAUGCCUGUAUAGGGUGAAGCCAGAGGAAACUCUGGUGGAGGCUCGCAGCGGUUCUGACGUGCAAAUCGAUCGUCAAAUAUGGGCAUGGGGGCGAAAGACUAAUCGAGCCUUCUAGUAGCUGGUUUCCGCCGAAGUUUCCCUCAGGAUAGCAGUGUUGAACUCAGUUUUAUGAGGUAAAGCGAAUGAUUAGGGACUCGGGGGCGCUAUAUAGCCUUCAUCCAUUCUCAAACUUUAAAUAUGUAAGAAGCCCUUGUUGCUUAAUUGAACGUGGGCAUUCGAAUGUAUCAACCCUAGUGGGCCAUUUUUGGUAAGCAGAACUGGCGAUGCGGGAUGAACCGAACGCGAGGUUAAGGUGCCAGAGUUCACGCUCAUCAGACACCACAAAAGGUGUUAGUACAUCUUGACAGCAGGCCGGUGGCCAUGGAAGUCGGAAUCCGCUAAGGACUGUGUAACAACUCACCUGCCGAAUGUACUAACCCUGAAAAUGGAUGGCGCUCAAGCGUCUCACCCAUACCUCGCCCUCAGGGUAGAAACGAUGCCCUGAGGAGUAGGCGGACGUGGAGGUC